Molecule: long non-coding RNA, 394 nt
Filed under: Setaria viridis
Lineage: Eukaryota; Viridiplantae; Streptophyta; Magnoliopsida; Poales; Poaceae
Description: long non-coding RNA (SVIR_LNC008721)
Source: RNAcentral
GAUUGUGUGCCAUCAAUGUCAGCUACCAAGUUAUGUUGUCUUUCCCAGAUUAUAUUGUCAUAGAGGCAAACAAAGAAUAAGAAUUAGCUUUUAACUUGCAUGUUUGGUAUCCAAACUAUACUCUAAAGGUUCUGUUACCUGCCUGUGCUGACUUCUUGCUGAUACAAGGUUUCCAUCGUUUUCCAAUCUUUUUGUAAUGAGACAACUGUGAAAAACAAGGACAAGAGGAAAUUAUCACAUACAUGUGAGAAAGUGAAAUAAUAACUAUGUGUGACCUUCUACCCACUAUACCUAUGGCACACUUGAUUUCCAUCACCUUCCACCACUUCCUCACUGAUUGUAUAUCUCUAUAGUUGGAACUUUGCUUUGACAAUAUGGUUUUCCAUGCCGCACC